CAAUAGCGUAUAUUUAAGUUGUUGCAGUUAAAAAGCUCGUAGUUGGAUUUCGGGUAGGAUUUGCCGGUCCGUCUUUGAGAUGUGUACUGGUAAGUCCUAUCUUGUUGUCGGGGACUAGCUCCUGGGCUUCACUGUCCGGGACUAGGAGCUGACGAGGUUACUUUGAGUAAAUUAGAGUGUUCAAAGCAAGCCUACGCUCUGAAUACAUUAGCAUGGAAUAACACGAUAGGACUCUGGCUUAUCUUGUUGGUCUGUGAGACCAGAGUAAUGAUUAAGAGGGACAGUCGGGGGCAUUCGUAUUUCAUUGUCAGAGGUGAAAUUCUUGGAUUUAUGAAAGACGAACUUCUGCGAAAGCAUUUGUCAAGGAUGUUUUCAUUAA
RNAcentral lists this ribosomal RNA (379 nucleotides) under uncultured eukaryote. Its description in RNAcentral is "partial 18S ribosomal RNA". It matches the Rfam family "Eukaryotic small subunit ribosomal RNA", at positions 592 to 976 of the family's 1831-position model. The record is from RNAcentral.